This 276-nucleotide ribosomal RNA is filed under the name Triticum aestivum (bread wheat). RNAcentral's name for it is "partial small subunit ribosomal RNA". The record is from RNAcentral. Lineage: Eukaryota; Viridiplantae; Streptophyta; Magnoliopsida; Poales; Poaceae.
AUGAAGAAGGAGGAUGCAGCAAUCAUAAUCUCUGUAAUGUGGGCGAUCUGGACCAGUCGUAACAAGUUCACCCAUAAUGAGGUUCAGUUCCAGCCUCACAGAUUGAUGGAGCUCAUCAGGGAUCAUGUCCGAAGUCUUGAUUUUCCAAAACCAGGAGUGGAGAGACCAGUUCAGAGGCACACUUGGGAGGCGCCGGAGCAUGGUUGGAUGAAACUGAAUUCUGACGGGGUGGUUGAUCAGGUGCUGCAACGUUCUGGAACGGGAAUAGUUGUGUGA